RNAcentral lists this ribosomal RNA (2058 nucleotides) under Triticum aestivum (bread wheat). Its description in RNAcentral is "partial small subunit ribosomal RNA". Lineage: Eukaryota; Viridiplantae; Streptophyta; Magnoliopsida; Poales; Poaceae. The record is from RNAcentral.
AUGAUCGGAAAACGGACGGUUGCUGUAAAGAAGCUGUCAAACACAGUUGAUAUUACUGAGAGUAAAUUCCACAGAGAGGUUAAAUGCUUAAUGAAGACCAAGCACAAGAACAUAGUACGUUUUCUGGGGUAUUGUGCUGACACACAAGGAAAAAUGGCAGAAUAUGAGGGGAAGCUUGUCAUGGCAGAUGUACGAAACUGGUUACUCUGUUUUGAGUUUGUACCCAAAGGGAGUCUUGAGAAGCAUAUGUCUGAUGCAUCUUGCGGACUUGAAUGGAGAGAGCGCUAUCGAAUAAUUAGGGGAAUAUGUGAAGGCUUACAUUACCUUCAUGAGAAGCGCAUUCUUCAUUUGGACCUUAAGCCUGCUAAUGUCCUGCUUGAGAUUGGCAUGGUACCCAAAAUUGCUGAUUUUGGUCUCUCGCGGUGUUUUGAUGAAGGGCAAACCCGAGCUGUUACUCAACAUCUGUGUGGAUCUCAGGGGUACUUGGCUCCAGAAAUCUAUAGAGGGCACAUCGCAUUCGCGUCAGACAUAUAUAGUCUUGGUGUUAUAAUCAUGGAGAUACUGACAGGAGCAAAGGGAUAUUUUGAAGAGGAGAAAGUAGUUGAAAGUUGGAUGAAUCGACUGGAUCAGGCACCAGAGGGGCACACACAGUUAGAACAAGUAAGAGUAUGCACUAAGAUCGGGAUAGAGUGCAUGGACUUGGACCCAAAGAAGAGACCAGCUGUGCAGCACAUAAUUGAUAGGCUUGAUAAAACAGCAAGAGCUGACUAUUCAUGCCAAACUGGCAUGAGCAGUUCACUAGCCGAGCUGCAGCCAAGCUUACUCGAGGAACAGUCUGGGAAAAUAAUUGGAAAGCUUGUAGCUGAGAGCCUUAUAAAGGAUAUCAAUGAACGCCCAGAAACGGAAGAUCACUGCCAGCAGGGUCAAGAAAAUGCAGAUCAAUGGUCAUUACGGGAAGCACAAGAUACGGAGCGAAAGGUUAACCGACCAGGAACAAGCAUUUUCGGCUCUAAAUCUAGCUUCUUGGAGAAGCUAAAAAACUUGAAUAUCUUUAGCAGGAAAGCACGCAGGAAUUUCGUGAGGAAUGGUGGCUCACACCUACAGAAUGUCAGGGGCCUAACGAUUUUCACAAAGGCGGAAAUACAGAAAAUCACAAAAAACAAUUCAGAGUUUCUUGGUACCGGAAGAUUUUGUAAAGCCUACAAAGGAACUCUUCCUGACAAUACCAUGGUGGCAGUUAAGACCUUUAUCACGCUAAGCAAUAAUAGUCUGAGGCGGGAGUUUGAGGUGAUAAUAGAAGUCCAUAAAGAACUGAUCCACAAGAACAUCCUCAAGCUCUAUGGUUGCUGCCCUGGGAUGGAUGUUCCAACGUUAGUAUUUGAAUUUGCUGCUAAUGGGAGCCUCGAGAGCAUUGUCCAUGGCAGUAAACAAAAACUUCCUUUAGACUUGCGCAUUGACAUUGCAAUUGGGUUUGCAGAAGGCUUAAGAUACAUGCACUCCUACGCAAAUUGUCCCAUGCGACAUGGUGAUGUCAGACCGAACAACAUAUUUCUCGAUGACAAGUUGACACCAAAAAUUGGAAACUUUGGGCUUUCGAGGCUUUAUAGUUUAGAGGAGAUGAGGCUACAGGCCUCUGAAUCAAGUGAUACACGCAACCAAUUGAUGCUGCAUAAUAUGGGUUACAUGGACCGAAAGUUCAUGCAAGAUGGACAUGUAACAUUAAAGAGUGAGGUCUACAGCUUUGGAGCUAUUCUCUUGGAACUCAUUACCAGGAAGAAGAACAUAUUUGAUGAAAACCGCAUCCUCGUCGAUGAGUACCGCAAAGUUUAUGAGAGAGAAAAGAGUGGACGAGCAAUGUUUGACAAGGAGAUUGCAACUGAAGACAAUAUGUUCGCCCUGGAAGAAAUUGGCAAGGUUGUAAUUGAGUGCCUGAAAGAAGACAGUAAGGAACGACCAGAUAUGACGGAGGUGACGGAACUACUUGUGAUGAUCAGGAGAGAGAGGAGGCUCGUUAAGGCACGCAAUAAGGCGAUUACUACUAGUGUUCCAUAUGCAUAG